UCACACAACUUUAAAUAUCUCAUUAUCGGAAAUUCCUUUGCUUACACGGUUUCUUUUAUAAGAAACUAGACUCAUUAAGCUUUAAUUUCAUGUCUCAUUCAGCCUCUAAUUCAAGUCCAUAAAUUUAUGGUGAUUUUCUAAAGUCACGUUACUGCUGCUGUCCGAAGCAGACUAUUUCAAAUUACCCUUAAAUUCCCAAGCUCAAACACUUAAGAACUUACCAUUUGAGCUUAGAACAUAUCAUGGCCACAUCAUAUCUUACUAAAUCAACUCAUCAUGUCCUAUUAUAAUUGAAUUUACUCAAUGUUUAAACACUUAAAACUUACCUCGGAAGUUGCCGAACGAUUACGACGGCUCUUCGAUCACUUUUUUCCUUUCCCUUAUCCAACUUUGAUCCUCUAGGCUCUUGAGCUAAA
This 416-nucleotide long non-coding RNA is filed under the name Gossypium barbadense (sea-island cotton). RNAcentral describes it as "long non-coding RNA (GBAR_LNC018445)". The record is from RNAcentral. Lineage: Eukaryota; Viridiplantae; Streptophyta; Magnoliopsida; Malvales; Malvaceae.